UACGUAGGUGGCGAGGGUUGUCCGGAUUUACUGGGCGUAAAGCGCGCGCAGGCGGCAGGUUAAGUAAGGUGUGAAAUCUCCCUGCUCAACGGGGAGGGUGCACUUUAGACUGACCAGCUAGAGGGCGGUAGAGGGUGGUGGAAUUGCUGGUGUAGCGGUGAAAUGCGUAGAGAUCAGCAGGAACACCCGUGGCGAAGGCGGCCACCUGGGCCGUACCUGACGCUGAGGCGCGAAGGCUAGGGGAGCGAACGGG
Molecule: ribosomal RNA, 253 nt
Filed under: uncultured bacterium
Lineage: Bacteria
Description: partial 16S ribosomal RNA
Rfam family: Bacterial small subunit ribosomal RNA
Source: RNAcentral